UGGGGCAUAACUCAGUUGGCGGGGUACUUGCCUAGCAUGCGGGAAGUCCUAGGUUCAAUUCCUAGGACCCAA
Molecule: transfer RNA, 72 nt
Filed under: Rattus norvegicus (Norway rat)
Lineage: Eukaryota; Metazoa; Chordata; Mammalia; Rodentia; Muridae
Rfam family: tRNA
About the family: Transfer RNA (tRNA) molecules are approximately 80 nucleotides in length. Their secondary structure includes four short double-helical elements and three loops (D, anti-codon, and T loops).
Source: Rfam by way of RNAcentral